RNAcentral lists this ribosomal RNA (301 nucleotides) under uncultured bacterium. RNAcentral describes it as "partial 16S ribosomal RNA". It matches the Rfam family "Bacterial small subunit ribosomal RNA", at positions 509 to 807 of the family's 1533-position model. The record is from RNAcentral.
CAGCAGCCACGGUAAAACAGAGGGUGCGAGCGUUAAUCGGAUUUACUGGGCGUAAAGCGUGCGUAGGCGGCUAAUUGAGUCGGAUGUGAAAUCCCCGAGCUUAACUUGGGAAUUGCAUUCGAUACUGGUUAGCUAGAGUGUGGGAGAGGAUGGUAGAAUUCCAGGUGUAGCGGUGAAAUGCGUAGAGAUCUGGAGGAAUACCGAUGGCGAAGGCAGCCAUCUGGCCUAACACUGACGCUGAGGUACGAAAGCAUGGGGAGCAAACAGGAUUAGAUACCCGCGUAGUCCCUGUCUCUUAUAC